AGAUUGAACGCUGGCGGCAUGCCUAACACAUGCAAGUCGAACGGGAGUAGCAAUACUCUAGUGGCGGACGGGUGAGGAAUACGUAGGAAUUUGCCCUUAAGUGGGGAUAACCCGGGAAACCCGGAUUAAUACCGCAUGACCUCGAAAGAGCAAAGUGGGGGAUCGCAAGACCUCACGCUUUUGGAGAAGCCUACGUCGGAUUAGCUAGUUGGUGAGGUAAUGGCUCACCAAGGCGACGAUCCGUAACUGGUCUGAGAGGAUGAUCAGUCACACCGGAACUGAGACCACGGUCCGACUCCUACGGGAGGCAGCAGGUGGGAAUAGUUGGAACUAAGUGGGCGCAAGGCCUAGAUCCAAGCAAUCGCCGGUGUGUGUAGGAAGAAGGUCCUUCGGUUAGUAAAGUACACUUAGGUAA
This 415-nucleotide ribosomal RNA is filed under the name uncultured soil bacterium. RNAcentral's name for it is "bacterial SSU rRNA". It matches the Rfam family "Bacterial small subunit ribosomal RNA", at positions 26 to 443 of the family's 1533-position model. The record is from RNAcentral.